GUCCUUUAGGUAAAAUGAUUUAAGGUCUGACCUGCCCACUGAAUUUUUUUAAUGGCCGCAGUAUUUUGACUGUGCAAAGGUAGCAUAAUCAUUAGUUUUUUAAUUAAAAGCUUGUAUGAAUGGUUGGACGAAAUAAAAACUGUCUCUGUAUAAUAAUUAGAAUUUAAUUUUUAAGUUAAAAAGCUUAAAUUUUAUUAAAAGACGAGAAGACCCUAUAGAUCUUUAUAAUAAGUUUUUAUAUUUUUAUUAAAGAUUUUUUUAUUUAUUAUAAUUGUUAUUAUUUUAUUGGGGUAAUAGGAAGAUUAAUAAAAUUCUUUUUUAUUUUUACCAUUAAUUAAUGAUUAUGUGAUCCUUGAUAUUGAUUAUAAGAUUAAGUUACCUUAGGGAUAACAGCGUAAUUUUUUUAGAGAGUUCAUAUCGAUAAAAAAGUUUGCGACCUCGAUGUUGGAUUAAAAAUUAUUUUGGGUGUAGAAGUUCAAAUUUUUGGUCUGUUCGACCAUUAAAUUUUU
RNAcentral lists this ribosomal RNA (509 nucleotides) under Stictotarsus corpulentus. RNAcentral describes it as "partial 16S ribosomal RNA". It matches the Rfam family "Bacterial large subunit ribosomal RNA", at positions 1825 to 2597 of the family's 2925-position model. Lineage: Eukaryota; Metazoa; Arthropoda; Insecta; Coleoptera; Dytiscidae. RNAcentral also lists the same sequence under 1 other name. The record is from RNAcentral.